GCAAGUUCGAGGGGUAACAGGGAAUGCUUGCAUUCCGCUGACGACCGGCGCACGGGUGCGUAACGCGUAUGCAACCUACCUUCUACAGGGGGAUAGCCCAGAGAAAUUUGGAAUAAUACCCCAUACGAUCUUUACUUGGCAUCGAGUAAAGAAGAAAACUUCGGUGGUAGAAGAUGGGCAUGCGUCCUAUUAGUUAGUUGGUGAGGUAACGGCUCACCAAGACUCCGAUAGGUAGGGGCCCUGAGAGGGGGAUCCCCCACACUGGUACUGAGACACGGACCAGACUCCUACGGGAGGCAGCAGUGAGGAAUAUUGGACAAUGGGGGCAACCCUGAUCCAGCCAUGCCGCGUGCAGGAAGACUGCCCUAUGGGUUGUAAACUGCUUUUAUACAGGAAGAAACUGCGCUACGUGUAGCGUACUGACGGUACUGUAAGAAUAAGGAUCGGCUAACUCCGUGCCAGCAGCCGCGGUAAUACGGAGGAUCCAAGCGUUGUCCGGAAUCAUUGGGUUUAAAGGGUCCGUAGGUGGUCCAUUAAGUCAGAGGUGAAAGCCUAUCGCUCAACGAUAGAACGGCCUUUGAUACUGAUAGACUUGAGUUAUUGUGAAGUAGUUAGAAUAUGUAGUGUAGCGGUGAAAUGCAUAGAUAUUACAUAGAAUACCGAUUGCGAAGGCAGAUUACUAACAAUAUACUGACACUGAGGGACGAAAGCGUGGGUAGCGAACAGGAUUAGAUACCCUGGUAGUCCACGCCGUAAACGAUGGUCACUAGCUGAUUGA
Molecule: ribosomal RNA, 778 nt
Filed under: uncultured marine bacterium
Lineage: Bacteria
Description: bacterial SSU rRNA
Rfam family: Bacterial small subunit ribosomal RNA
Source: RNAcentral